This 160-nucleotide ribosomal RNA is filed under the name uncultured bacterium. RNAcentral's name for it is "partial 16S ribosomal RNA". It matches the Rfam family "Bacterial small subunit ribosomal RNA", at positions 1345 to 1500 of the family's 1533-position model. The record is from RNAcentral.
CGGAUCAGCACGCCGCGGUGAAUACGUUCCCGGGCCUUGUACACACCGCCCGUCACACCAUGGAAGUCUGCAAUGCCCGAAGCCGGUGGCCUAACCACUUAUGUGGAAGGAGCCGUCUAAGGCAGGGCAGAUGACUGGGGUGAAGUCGUAACAAGGUAGC